Long non-coding RNA from Dermochelys coriacea (leatherback sea turtle), 802 nucleotides. RefSeq lists it as uncharacterized. The transcript is spliced from 2 exons. Lineage: Eukaryota; Metazoa; Chordata; Testudines; Dermochelyidae. The record is from RefSeq and is a predicted model, not a curated record.
CUGAUUUUUCUGAUCCCUAGAAAUCUUAUGAACCAAUUGUUUGGCACAGGAAGAAGAUGAUAACCAAUGCCAACUGACAUCUCAUAUCAACACUGCCUCUUAUUACCACAAACAUUAGAAAUGCUGUGGCACCCCUUGCAUCUCAGAGAGAAGACUUGUGGCUGAAAAAGAUACUUCAGUAUAUCCACUUUUUCCUCUUGGAAAGGAAAUCUAAAGACUUUUUGAAUCUUAUAUGCUAUGUUUCAAGGGGAGCAGAAGUUGGGUUAAAUAUUUUUUAAGAUUUAUGAAUUGAAGAUACUGUAUUGGAAACUGGGGGUAAAACUUUCAAAAGUGCCUAUGUCCCUUUUGGAAACUUUAACCUGUGUAUAUGCCUUUCUCACUACAUUCUACUAGACUCACUGAAGUUUGAUGGGUAAUGUUUUGUUUUUAAGAACGCAGACUAGGCCAAACCCAAGGAAGAGAGAGAGAAAAUCUAAAGAACAUGUCUGAUGUAUGAGAUGAUAGUACUAAAAUACUGCACCUAGCUCUGGGUACUUUAGUUCCCGAGACCUGUCAAACUGGAUUGGUUUAAAAAAAACCGGGGAAGAUGGUUAGAAGAAUAGUGCAAUUGGCUGGUAAGAAAAGAUUAAAUGAGCUAAAUAUGAGUUUGGCAAAGUUACAAGUAAGGUGGAGACAUUCAGUUCUUCAAGCAUUUGAAGACUGUAAACUCAAAGGAAUGCUCUUUAAUGAGGUAUUAUUAAGUAUAGUGGCAAGAAAUCAAAUAAGUUUAAAUGGAAUAUCAUUGAACUUUUUUUAAAAAAGA